This 85-nucleotide transfer RNA is filed under the name Lewinella sp. 4G2. It matches the Rfam family "tRNA". From Rfam's summary of the family: Transfer RNA (tRNA) molecules are approximately 80 nucleotides in length. Their secondary structure includes four short double-helical elements and three loops (D, anti-codon, and T loops). Lineage: Bacteria; Pseudomonadati; Bacteroidota; Saprospiria; Saprospirales; Lewinellaceae. The record is from Rfam by way of RNAcentral.
GGAGGAAUGGCAGAGCGGUUUAAUGCACCGGUCUUGAAAACCGACGUACCGAGAGGUACCGGGGGUUCGAAUCCCUCUUCCUCCG